GAACGCUGGCGGCAUGCCUUACACAUGCAAGUCGAACGGCAGCACGGGAGCAAUCCUGGUGGCGAGUGGCGAACGGGUGAGUAAUGUAUCGGAACGUACCAUUGGAGUGGGGGAUAACGUAGCGAAAGUUACGCUAAUACCGCAUAUACCCUGAGGGGGGAAAGCAGGGGAUCGCAAGACCUUGUGCUCUUUGAGCGGCCGAUAUCAGAUUAGCUAGUUGGUGAGGUAAAGGCUCACCAAGGCGACGAUCUGUAGCGGGUCUGAGAGGAUGAUCCGCCACACUGGAACUGAGACACGGUCCAGACUCCUACGGGAGGCAGCAGUGGGGAAUUUUGGACAAUGGGGGCAACCCUGAUCCAGCCAUGCCGCGUGAGUGAAGAAGGCCUUCGGGUUGUAAAGCUCUUUCGGCCGGGAGGAAAUCGCAUCAGUUAAUACCUGGUGUGGAUGACAGUACCGGAAUAAGAAGCACCGGCUAACUACGUG
RNAcentral lists this ribosomal RNA (483 nucleotides) under uncultured bacterium. Its description in RNAcentral is "bacterial SSU rRNA". It matches the Rfam family "Bacterial small subunit ribosomal RNA", at positions 31 to 507 of the family's 1533-position model. The record is from RNAcentral.